This 253-nucleotide ribosomal RNA is filed under the name uncultured bacterium. Its description in RNAcentral is "partial 16S ribosomal RNA". It matches the Rfam family "Bacterial small subunit ribosomal RNA", at positions 524 to 776 of the family's 1533-position model. The record is from RNAcentral.
UACGAGGGGGGCAAGCGUUGUUCGGAAUUAUUGGGCGUAAAGGGCGCGUAGGCGGUGCGGUAAGUCACCUGUGAAAUCUCUGGGCUCAACUCAGAGUCUGCAGGCGAAACUGCCGUGCUGGAGUAUGGGAGAGGUGCGUGGAAUUCCCAGUGUAGAGGUGAAAUUCGUAGAUAUUGGGAAGAACACCGGUGGCGAAGGCGGCGACCUGGUCCGAUACUGACGCUGAGGCGCGAAAGCGUGGGGAGCAAACAGG